UACGUAGGGGGCAAGCGUUAUCCGGAUUUACUGGGUGUAAAGGGAGCGUAGACGGUAAAGCAGGUCUGAAGUGAAAUGCCAGUGCUCAACACUGGAACUGCUUUGGAAACUGUUUGGCUGGAGUGCAGGAGAGGUAAGUGGAAUUCCUAGUGUAGCGGUGAAAUGCGUAGAUAUUAGGAGGAACACCAGUGGCGAAGGCGGCUUACUGGACUGUAACUGACGUUGAGGCUCGAAAGCGUGGGGAGCAAACAGG
RNAcentral lists this ribosomal RNA (253 nucleotides) under uncultured bacterium. RNAcentral describes it as "partial 16S ribosomal RNA". It matches the Rfam family "Bacterial small subunit ribosomal RNA", at positions 524 to 776 of the family's 1533-position model. The record is from RNAcentral.